Lagopus muta (rock ptarmigan) is the source of this 274-nucleotide long non-coding RNA. RefSeq lists it as uncharacterized. The record is from RefSeq and is a predicted model, not a curated record. The transcript is spliced from 3 exons. Lineage: Eukaryota; Metazoa; Chordata; Aves; Galliformes; Phasianidae.
CGGCCAUUAAUGACCGCUGAUGACUAUUAAAGACCGUUAAUCGUCAGUGAACCCCGGCAGUCAUCGGAGAUGCGUGUUGUUGUGGGAGCUUGCAGAGUGCUGCGGAGUGCAGAAAGCUGUGUCAGCACAUCUCCUUGAGGGGACAAUUGUGGCACUCUGAGGCUUUGUGGACAGUGUUAAACAGGGCAUGAGAAACGCCAAUGAGGUAGAAGGGGCAAAGACAGGGCACAGUUUGUCUCAUGCUACACAGCCUGACAAAAGAAAAUGAAAAGGA